UACGUAGGUGGCAAGCGUUGUCCGGAUUUACUGGGCGUAAAGAGCGCGCAGGCGGUCGUGCAAGUCGCGUGUGAAAGCCCCCGGCUCAACUGGGGAGGGUCACGCGAUACUGCUCGACUCGAAGGCAGGAGAGGGAAGUGGAAUUCCCGGUGUAGCGGUGAAAUGCGUAGAGAUGCGGAGGAACACCGAUGGCGAAGGCAGCCCCCUGGGCUAGCACUGACGCUCAGGCACGAAAGCGUGGGGAGCAAACAGG
Molecule: ribosomal RNA, 253 nt
Filed under: uncultured bacterium
Lineage: Bacteria
Description: partial 16S ribosomal RNA
Rfam family: Bacterial small subunit ribosomal RNA
Source: RNAcentral